CCUACGGGAGGCAGCAGUAAGGAAUAUUGGUCAAUGGACGAAAGUCUGAACCAGCCAUGCCGCGUGAAGGAUGAAGGCCCUCUGGGUUGUAAACUUCUUUUAUAGGGGACGAAAAAAGGGCAUUCUUGCUCACUUGACGGUACCCUAGGAAUAAGCACCGGCUAACUCCGUGCCAGCAGCCGCGGUAAUACGGAGGGUGCAAGCGUUAUCCGGAUUUACUGGGUUUAAAGGGUGCGUAGGUGGGUUGGUAAGUCAGCGGUGAAAUCUUCGAGCUUAACUCGGAAACUGCCAUUGAUACUAUCAAUCUUGAAUCAUCUAGAGGUAAGCGGAAUAUGUCAUGUAGCGGUGAAAUGCUUAGAUAUGACAUAGAACACCAAUUGCGAAGGCAGCUUACUAUGGAUGUAUUGACACUGAGGCACGAAAGCGUGGGGAUCAAACAGGAUUAGAUACCCUGGUAGUCCACGCCCUAAACCUAUGGAUACUCGACAUUUGCGAUAUACUGUAAGUGUCUGAGCGAAAGCAUUAAGUAUCCCACCUGGAAGUACGAUCGCAAGAUUGAAACUCAAAGGAAUUGACGGNNGAGAGNGACGAGGACGACACGAGGGAGGAGG
RNAcentral lists this ribosomal RNA (611 nucleotides) under uncultured bacterium. RNAcentral describes it as "bacterial SSU rRNA". It matches the Rfam family "Bacterial small subunit ribosomal RNA", at positions 338 to 951 of the family's 1533-position model. The record is from RNAcentral.